RNAcentral lists this ribosomal RNA (1316 nucleotides) under Paenarthrobacter sp. RNAcentral describes it as "bacterial SSU rRNA". It matches the Rfam family "Bacterial small subunit ribosomal RNA", at positions 90 to 1417 of the family's 1533-position model. Lineage: Bacteria; Bacillati; Actinomycetota; Actinomycetes; Micrococcales; Micrococcaceae. The record is from RNAcentral.
GAUUAGUGGCGAACGGGUGAGUAACACGUGAGUAACCUGCCCUUGACUCUGGGAUAAGCCUGGGAAACUGGGUCUAAUACCGGAUACGACCAUCUGACGCAUGUCAUGGUGGUGGAAAGCUUUUGUGGUUUUGGAUGGACUCGCGGCCUAUCAGCUUGUUGGUGGGGUAAUGGCCUACCAAGGCGACGACGGGUAGCCGGCCUGAGAGGGUGACCGGCCACACUGGGACUGAGACACGGCCCAGACUCCUACGGGAGGCAGCAGUGGGGAAUAUUGCACAAUGGGCGCAAGCCUGAUGCAGCGACGCCGCGUGAGGGAUGACGGCCUUCGGGUUGUAAACCUCUUUCAGUAGGGAAGAAGCGAAAGUGACGGUACCUGCAGAAGAAGCGCCGGCUAACUACGUGCCAGCAGCCGCGGUAAUACGUAGGGCGCAAGCGUUAUCCGGAAUUAUUGGGCGUAAAGAGCUCGUAGGCGGUUUGUCGCGUCUGCUGUGAAAGACCGGGGCUCAACUCCGGUUCUGCAGUGGGUACGGGCAGACUAGAGUGCAGUAGGGGAGACUGGAAUUCCUGGUGUAGCGGUGAAAUGCGCAGAUAUCAGGAGGAACACCGAUGGCGAAGGCAGGUCUCUGGGCUGUAACUGACGCUGAGGAGCGAAAGCAUGGGGAGCGAACAGGAUUAGAUACCCUGGUAGUCCAUGCCGUAAACGUUGGGCACUAGGUGUGGGGGACAUUCCACGUUUUCCGCGCCGUAGCUAACGCAUUAAGUGCCCCGCCUGGGGAGUACGGCCGCAAGGCUAAAACUCAAAGGAAUUGACGGGGGCCCGCACAAGCGGCGGAGCAUGCGGAUUAAUUCGAUGCAACGCGAAGAACCUUACCAAGGCUUGACAUGAACCGGAAAGACCUGGAAACAGGUGCCCCGCUUGCGGUCGGUUUACAGGUGGUGCAUGGUUGUCGUCAGCUCGUGUCGUGAGAUGUUGGGUUAAGUCCCGCAACGAGCGCAACCCUCGUUCUAUGUUGCCAGCGCGUUAUGGCGGGGACUCAUAGGAGACUGCCGGGGUCAACUCGGAGGAAGGUGGGGACGACGUCAAAUCAUCAUGCCCCUUAUGUCUUGGGCUUCACGCAUGCUACAAUGGCCGGUACAAAGGGUUGCGAUACUGUGAGGUGGAGCUAAUCCCAAAAAGCCGGUCUCAGUUCGGAUUGGGGUCUGCAACUCGACCCCAUGAAGUCGGAGUCGCUAGUAAUCGCAGAUCAGCAACGCUGCGGUGAAUACGUUCCCGGGCCUUGUACACACCGCCCGUCAAGUCACGAAAGUUGGUAA